CUCAGACAUCACAGAAAUGUGCUCCAAGACAUCUCCAAAUUUUGCUCAUCUUCCAAGUCAGACUCUUCUAAAGGCAUAUCUUGUUUCUGCCUGAGCCAUGGAGUGAGUGAGGCAUGGCUUUUCAGCUUUUGAUAAGCUUUGAUUUGCUUUGCAAUAAAAAGAAAACAGGCUGAGCAUGGUCUUCCAUCAACUUCUCUGAAGGUGGUGAAGCCUUUGGACUUGAAUGUGUACUGACUUGGCAAGUGCUGUUAAGACGUUGCUUCAAAUCUGGUUGCAAGAAAACAUUUGAUUUGCAUGCUGGCUUGGCGAGUGUUAUCGACACGUAUGGCCUCAGAAGCACAGGCAAACUGUCAGGGUGUUGCUGUGUAUACAAACUUAGGAACACAAUGGAGUACAAAGUCCACAAGUUGGGGUUGACUCUCUUCCAGUCUCCUCCCUGCUAAGACAGAUUUCUCCCUGGGUCUUGCUGUAUCUCUUCCCCACAGGCUGAAGCAUGGCUAGCCUGCUGCCACCUCUGCUUUAUUGAUUUUAUUUACAUAGUCUAUGCAAAAUAAAACUUACCAAGACCUGUGGUUCAUUUUCGAAUCAAGCAGGUGGUAGAAAGUCCCCUUAUUUUUAUGUUUCUUAAUCCACUGUGAACUUGACUUUUAAUUUCAAGUAAAGGGUUCUGUUGGGCUCUCAAUAAUUGUGUACCUGAAGGGCUCACCUGGAACUGGUACAAGGGAAAUUAGAUCCUUCCCAAAUCCCAUCAAAGCUCUCAAUCCUCCAGUUGGUACUUUGUCAAUGUAAAUGAGAUUAUUUUAAAAGGUAACAAAACCCUUCAGUUCAUCCCAGCUUAAUGUCAUUCG
This 848-nucleotide long non-coding RNA is filed under the name Marmota monax (woodchuck). Lineage: Eukaryota; Metazoa; Chordata; Mammalia; Rodentia; Sciuridae. The record is from RNAcentral.